Molecule: ribosomal RNA, 411 nt
Filed under: uncultured Pseudonocardia sp.
Lineage: Bacteria; Bacillati; Actinomycetota; Actinomycetes; Pseudonocardiales; Pseudonocardiaceae
Description: bacterial SSU rRNA
Rfam family: Bacterial small subunit ribosomal RNA
Source: RNAcentral
GUGGGGAAUAUUGCGCAAUGGGCGGAAGCCUGACGCAGCGACGCCGCGUGGGGGAUGACGGCCUUCGGGUUGUAAACCUCUUUCGACCGGGACGAAGAGUGAUUGACGGUACCGGUAGAAGAAGCACCGGCCAACUACGUGCCAGCAGCCGCGGUAACACGUAGGGUGCGAGCGUUGUCCGGAAUUAUUGGGCGUAAAGAGCUCGUAGGCGGUGUGUCGCGUCGGCCGUGAAAACCUGGGGCUCAACCCUGGGCUUGCGGUCGAUACGGGCAUCACUGGAGUUCGGCAGGGGAGACUGGAAUUCCUGGUGUAGCGGUGAAAUGCGCAGAUAUCAGGAGGAACACCGGUGGCGAAGGCGGGUCUCUGGGCCGAUACUGACGCUGAGGAGCGAAAGCGUGGGGAGCGAACAGG